AAGACUAUAGACCUGCGGAGUACCUGCGGAGGGAUCAUUAUCGAAUCCUUAAGGAUGUUGCUGGUCUCUCGGGACAUGUGCACUCCGCCUUUUCUAUACACCUGUGAACUUAUUGUAGGUGGCAUUACUUGCCACCUAUGUUUUUAUAACACACAUGUAUAUUGAAUGUCUAAAUAUGGCCUUUUUGGUCAGUAAACUUAAUACAACUUUCAACAACGGAUCUCUAGAUCGGAAGAGCAC
Molecule: unclassified non-coding RNA, 240 nt
Filed under: soil metagenome
Description: partial contains 5.8S ribosomal RNA, internal transcribed spacer 2, and large subunit ribosomal RNA
Source: RNAcentral